Scleropages formosus (Asian bonytongue) is the source of this 94-nucleotide small nucleolar RNA. Ensembl annotates it as Z30 small nucleolar RNA. NCBI's taxonomy places the organism in Eukaryota, Metazoa, Chordata, Actinopteri, Osteoglossiformes, Osteoglossidae. The record is from Ensembl.
UGGCUGUGAUGAGCUGAAGAACUGCCUGACUUGGUAUUGGCAUGUGUUGGCAAUGACCAAGGAGUGAUUGGGUUUUAAUCUUCUCUCUGAGCUG